CUUUCGCCUGGACAGGAUCCUUGCCCUUUCCGGCGUGGUAGCGGACACUCCCCCGCGCUGCACGGGGGCGGAAGGC
Molecule: transfer RNA, 76 nt
Filed under: Euryarchaeota archaeon ADurb.BinA087
Lineage: Archaea; Methanobacteriati; Methanobacteriota
Description: tRNA-Arg
Source: RNAcentral